CGGGAAACCGGAGCUAAUACCGAUAAUAUUUCGAACCGCAUGGUUCGAUAGUGAAAGGUGGUUUGCUAUCACUUAUAGAUGGACCCGCGCCGUAUUAGCUAGUUGGUAAGGUAACGGCUUACCAAGGCGACGAUACGUAGCCGACCUGAGAGGGUGAUCGGCCACACUGGAACUGAGACACGGUCCAGACUCCUACGGGAGGCAGCAGUU
RNAcentral lists this ribosomal RNA (210 nucleotides) under uncultured Staphylococcus sp. Its description in RNAcentral is "partial 16S ribosomal RNA". It matches the Rfam family "Bacterial small subunit ribosomal RNA", at positions 150 to 355 of the family's 1533-position model. The record is from RNAcentral. Lineage: Bacteria; Bacillati; Bacillota; Bacilli; Caryophanales; Staphylococcaceae.